Molecule: ribosomal RNA, 253 nt
Filed under: uncultured bacterium
Lineage: Bacteria
Description: partial 16S ribosomal RNA
Rfam family: Bacterial small subunit ribosomal RNA
Source: RNAcentral
UACAGAGGUCUCAAGCGUUGUUCGGAAUCACUGGGCGUAAAGGGUGCGUAGGCGGGUUUUUAAGUCAGGGGUGAAAUCCUGGAGCUCAACUCCAGAACUGCCUUUGAUACUGGCGAUCUUGAGUCCGGGAGAGGUGAGUGGAACUGCGAGUGUAGAGGUGAAAUUCGUAGAUAUCAGGAGGAACACCCGUGGCGAAAGCGGCUCUCUGGGACGGUACUGACGCUGAGACGCGAAAGCGUGGGGAGCAAACAGG